RNAcentral lists this RNase P RNA (407 nucleotides) under Geothermobacter ehrlichii. Its description in RNAcentral is "Bacterial RNase P class A". It matches the Rfam family "Bacterial RNase P class A". From Rfam's summary of the family: Ribonuclease P (RNase P) is a ubiquitous endoribonuclease, found in archaea, bacteria and eukarya as well as chloroplasts and mitochondria. Its best characterised activity is the generation of mature 5'-ends of tRNAs by cleaving the 5'-leader elements of precursor-tRNAs. The record is from Rfam by way of RNAcentral. Lineage: Bacteria; Pseudomonadati; Thermodesulfobacteriota; Desulfuromonadia; Desulfuromonadales; Geothermobacteraceae.
GAAGAGCUCCAGGUGAUCGCUGGUUCCGCCGGCCCGGCCGGUGGAACGGGAGGAAAGUCCGGGCUCCGCAGGGCAGGAUGGUUCCUAACGGGAACCGGGGGUGACCCUAGGGAAAGUGCCACAGAAAGCAGACCGCUCCGCCGCCGGCGUCGCGCAAGCGACGGAGGCGCCGGGGUAAGGGUGAAAGGGUGAGGUAAGAGCUCACCAGGUCCGGCGGUGACGUCGGAUGCUCGGCAAACCCCAUCCGGAGCAAGGCCGAAUAGGGGAGCGUUUGAGGGCGGCCCGUCCGAAGCUCCCGGGUAGGCUGCUCGAGGUCGUCGGCGACGGCGAUCCUAGAUGAAUGAUCACCACCCCGCGGGGGGUAACCGCCGCGGGGGACAGAACCCGGCUUACGGGGCUCUUCGACC